Molecule: ribosomal RNA, 305 nt
Filed under: uncultured bacterium
Lineage: Bacteria
Description: bacterial SSU rRNA
Rfam family: Bacterial small subunit ribosomal RNA
Source: RNAcentral
AACCCUACGGGGGGCAGCAGUGGGGAAUAUUGCACAAUGGGGGAAACCCUGAUGCAGCAACGCCGCGUGAGUGAAGAAGUAUUUCGGUAUGUAAAGCUCUAUCAGCAGGGAAGAAAAUGACGGUACCUGACUAAGAAGCCCCGGCUAACUACGUGCCAGCAGCCGCGGUAAUACGUAGGGGGCAAGCGUUAUCCGGAUUUACUGGGUGUAAAGGGAGCGUAGACGGCAAUACAAGUCGGAAGUGAAAUACCCGGGCUUAACCUGGGAACUGCUUUGGAAACUGUAUGGCUGGAGUGCUGGAGAGG